Long non-coding RNA from Cercocebus atys (sooty mangabey), 304 nucleotides. RefSeq lists it as uncharacterized. The transcript has 3 exons. Lineage: Eukaryota; Metazoa; Chordata; Mammalia; Primates; Cercopithecidae. The record is from RefSeq and is a predicted model, not a curated record.
GGCCAGUAAUACAGAUCCUGCUGCGACUGCCUUAUUGAGGGGGCCGAAUAAAAGCGAUCACAGAUGUGAAUGCAUUUUGAAAUGGAAAAUCUGUGUUUGCAGGUGAAUUUGGAACCAUCUUCAGAAUCAGGUUGCCGUGCAGUCUGUCAAUGUAUUGUAACUGAGACCUGCAAGAGCUCUUCUCACACCUGGGAACAUCAUGGUGACAUUGUGUCUGCCACCAGCUCCAGCCCCAGGAAGGGACAAUUUCAUCACCACCAACCCAAGAGCAUCUUCCAAGAGGAAUUGGAGCCCCUCAAGAAGU